GCAGUCGAGAAUACUCCACAAUGCGCGUAAGCGUGAUGGGGGGAAUCCGAGUGGCCCACUUCGGUGGGCCUUUUGCCAAGUAUAGCAAGCUUGGCGAAUAAGUGCUGGGCAAGACCGGUGGCAGCCGCCACGGUAAUACCGGCGGCACAAGUGGUGUCCACGAUUAUUGGGCUUAAAGCGCUCGUAGCUGGCCUGUGCCGUCUCGUGUGAAAUAUUGGCGCUCAACGUCAAUGCGUGCACGAGAUACCCACAGGCUAGGGAGCGGGUGAGGUAAGAGGUACUCAUGGGGGAGGGGUAAAAUCCUGUAAUCCUAUGAGGACCAACGGUGGCGAAGGCGUCUUACCAGAACGCAUCCGACAGUGAGGAGCGAAGGCUAGGAGAACGAAUCGGAUUAGAUACCCCUGUAGUCC
This 410-nucleotide ribosomal RNA is filed under the name uncultured bacterium. RNAcentral describes it as "bacterial SSU rRNA". It matches the Rfam family "Archaeal small subunit ribosomal RNA", at positions 335 to 747 of the family's 1478-position model. The record is from RNAcentral.